RNAcentral lists this transfer RNA (76 nucleotides) under Terriglobia bacterium. Its description in RNAcentral is "tRNA-Lys". It matches the Rfam family "tRNA". From Rfam's summary of the family: Transfer RNA (tRNA) molecules are approximately 80 nucleotides in length. The record is from RNAcentral. Lineage: Bacteria; Pseudomonadati; Acidobacteriota; Terriglobia.
GGGUUCCAAGCUCAUGAGGAUGAGCAGCCGGUUCUUAACCGGCAGGCAGCCGGUUCGAUUCCGGCGGGACCCACCA